Molecule: signal recognition particle RNA, 292 nt
Filed under: Ipomoea nil (Japanese morning glory)
Lineage: Eukaryota; Viridiplantae; Streptophyta; Magnoliopsida; Solanales; Convolvulaceae
Description: Plant signal recognition particle RNA
Rfam family: Plant signal recognition particle RNA
Source: Rfam by way of RNAcentral
GCUGGGCUUGGUAGCGCGAGCUUGUAACCUGAGUGGGAGCAUUAAGAUGGUGGAACAGUUGGCCUUUCCUUGAAGGCUGGGCCUUGGUUGCUAUCUACUGGCUUGCCCGUUCCAAGUGGUGAGUUCGCAGAGGCUUCCCGGUGCCCUUAGAUUGGAGGGCGCACUGCGUGAGGCUGGCUUCACAGAGCAGUGAAAACCUUCUCCUCUCUGCAGUGGAAGGAUAGGAUAACGGGCCGGUGCAUCCUCUACCCACUAGCACCUGAUGGGCUGUCCAAAUCGAACCAUCAUCUUU